ACGUAAACUCUAGAAAAAUAGUUAACAAUGAUGAGAAUCACAGAUGUUUCUAAGCACUGAAUUCUAGAAUGUAUUUUAAGAUAUUAACUCAGUUUGAAGAGAUAUAUUUUUAAAACUAUGUAUGUGCUUAUGCACCAGUUUGCACACAUGCUUGUGGGUACCCACAGAGGCCAGAAGAGGGGCUCAGAUCCCCCAGAACUAUAGUUAUAGGUAGUUGUAAGUCAACUGACCUAGACGAUGGCAUGAGACUCUGGUCCUCACUUCUGAGCUCUCUCUAGUUCCCAUUUUAGAAGUUCGAGACUGGUUAAAAGGGAUGAAAAAUGAAUUCAUCAAGUAGAAGAAGAAUAAAUCUUGGUGUUAGAAGAAUAAGAACUGAAUGGACAUUAUUUUUUGUUAUAAGAAGAAUGUUGUACUGCUGAUGUUUUAAAUAGCUAUAAAUGUAUAAACAAACAUGAAUAUGUUUAUCAUCCUCUGACUAAACAUGUGUGACUGAAGAAUAGAUUCAUUCUUAGAAUUUUAGAAAAUAUUAAAAUCACUAUCUGGUGCCACAAUGUUAAUUUUUUUAGCCUACCUAUAUUUAUUUCAUUGAAUUAUUUGAAUAUUUGUCAUUUGGACUUACUAAGCUAGUGAAAAGUUACAAAUUUGAUAAAUAUUGCAUAUUUGUGUUAUGCUAAGUUGGUUUAAAUAACUGUCUUAGUUAAUGUUCUAUUGCUGACAAAACACGGUGAUUAUGCAAUUCUUAUAAAUAAAGGUAUUUAAUUGGGGCUGGCUUACAGUUUGAGAGGUUUAGUCCAUUUUCAUGGCAGGAAGCAUGGCAAUGCAUAGGCAGAUCUGGUGCUGGAGAAGAAUCUGUACCCUUUUCCAUCCUGAUCUGAAGGUAGCAAGAAGAGAGAUUCUUGGUCUGGUUUGACCUUUUAAAACCUUAAGGCCCACCCCACAAGUGACACAUUUCCUCCAACAAGGCCACCCCAACUCCAAAAAAAGUAGUGCCAUUCUUUAGGCAUUUAAAUUAUUGGGCCUAUGGGAGCGACUCUUAUACAAACCACCACAAUGACUAACAUUAUUUAAAGGCCCUUUGAAAAAAAUAUGGCUAAAUUCUGCUAUAUUCAAUAUUGCAUGCUGGAAACUUAAAUUUGUAAGAAAUAAGGAAAAAUGAAUAUUUUUAACCUUCUACUUAAACAUUUAACAAAAAAUAUAAGCCAAACUGAAAUUCCAAUAAGUUUUUCCUGUGAAUGACAAAAACGAAAAACCUUAUUUAUAAAAUGUAAGUAACCAUGGUUUACAUAAAAAUGCAUGCCUGACAAAUGAAGACUCCAUGGAUUUACAUAUGAUUCAAGAUUCCCAAUCAUUUAAGGACAUCAUACUUCAGAGUGGGUGAUGUUGCCAGUCAGUCCUAUGGUUCUUAGUCACACCUUCCUUACAGAGAGAGUAUGGGUUCGUUGUGUGAUAAAUGAGUCCUUAAAUUUCAUUAAACAAAGAGAAAUCAUAACCACUCUGUCCUCAGGAAAAAUUCAAAUCAGUUAAAACAAAAUGGGUACCCUCUCUAUUUUUCAAUCAAGAAAAAUAAGCCAAAUUACUAAUAUACCUAAUCUAAAUUCUGUUGUUAAGUUGACUAGACUCGUGCUAAGCAGAUGUAAGGAAACCUUUAGCCCUUACACUUAAAGGUUGUCAUGACUUUCAGAAUUAAAGAUAAUGGCUUAAAUGUCAGUGCUCAUGAACUUCUGUUUGGUUGCUACAAUAACAAGAUCAGUCCUCCUACAAGAAUACUCAUGAUUUUAAUUAUGAAAAAGACAUGGGAACAUUGAAGAGAUGGAAGUUUAUGUAUUGCACAGGAGGGGGACGUGCACACUAAAUUGGUCUUUGCUGGGUUACGAAGGGAAAGCACUUGACCUUGCAGAUUUAGAUUUCUGGUGGGUCCUUUAGAACAGUCGUCCUCGACCUUCUAAUAUUGACACCUUUUAGUACAGUUCCUCAAGUUGUGUGACCCCCAACCACAAAAUAAUUUUCUUACUACUUUAUAACUGUAAUUUGCUACUAUUAUGAGUUGUAGCAUAAAUAUCUGAUAUUCAACCGUAGUAGAAAAAUUGUUUGACCCACUAAAGGGGUCAUGACCCACAGGUUUAGUACCAUUGCUUUAGAGCCUCAGACAGGAGUUCCUCUCAUGGCUGCAGGGAGUACAGACUAGAGGAAGACCAGAGCAGCUGUCCUACUCUUUCUAUUGUAGUCCGGAAAAUUAUGAACCUAGUUUCCAUGUUAUAAAGCGGAACAUGUGCCAUAUCUAGUUGGUUUCCUUUGGACAAUGCAGAAGUUCAGUUCACAUUAUUAUGAGAGAUCCCUUUGACUUACAGUUCUAUUGGAAGUGCAUGCAUGAGCAUAGGUUAGCAGCUCACACAUGAGCAGUGUGCAGAUUUGUAGAUGUGGGGAUGGAGUCCAACUCCUAAACUUCAAACCCAGUGAAGUGGAAGAAUCUUUCUAGAUGUGAGGUAGCCACCCUAUUUUAAGAAGGGAAGACAUUGUGUUGAAGAAAUAAAUAGCUAUGGGAAAAACAAAAGAUAUCUAGAGUAAAAUUAAAUCAAACAGAAAGGCAAAAACAAACUACCUUAAAUAAGCAAUCAGGAAAUAUUCCUUAUCAGUGAUAAAGCUUCAUCAUCACCACCACCACAUCAUCAUCAUCAUCACCACCACAACCAUCAUCAUCACCAUCAUCACCACCACCACCAUCAUCAUCAUCAUCAUCAUCAUCACCACCACCACAACUGGCGGCGGCAGCAGCAGCAGCAACAACAACAACAGCAGCAGCAGCAGCAAGAGCAGCAGCAACAUUUUAAUGUGGGCAACAUUUAUUUUCUUAAAGACUUUUUAUCUGGGGAAAAUGGAAACUAAGCACCUGGCAGUGAGUGACAGAGUCUCAUUAUAGACAACACUAAGGAGUUCUUGGACCCACCUGGAGGAUGUCAGUGAAACAGCACACACGGUACAAUGACCAGUUUCUGCUUAAUUUUGCAGUACAAGGAAAUGUUCCCUGAAUUGUUGGUCAGUCCUGUUAGUGAGUUCUGGUGAUCCUGCACCAAGCAGUGGGUGUCACUAACUGCAGUGUUUGAAACAACAACAAAUAAAUUCCUGCUCAACCAAUCACCCAGGAAGACACAAUUGAUGGCAGAUAUCAAAAUCUGCAUCAGUUUGAUUGGAGAGUAAAGAUUCACGACUAUGAAAUAAAUAACACGGGUGAUAAAUUUGUAACUCCAAAAAGUUUGCUUAUAACAUUGUGGGCAAAGUUAUUUAAUGAAUUUUAACAAUGAAUAUUUGCUCCUCUGCUGAAAAGAGCGUAUAAAUCAGAAAUGCUUUUUAUUCAUAAAACAAAGAACGUCUUAUUGUACAUUGCUAGUGACCUUAACCUUGAAUAAAUAGAACUUAAUUCUCCCUCACUGCCGUCCAUGCAAUCAGCCUUUUCUUCUGCCAAGGAGAAAAAAAAAGCUGUUGCCAAAUUACUCCGAUUGUCCGGAAUGCUGGACAAAUAACGCAGGAAUGCUUUGAACUCAUGAAGCACCUCUCAUCCACCGAGUGCAAAAACACUUCAAAAAGAACAACUUGCACAUCCACACAAUUGCCAGACCCUUUUGGAUGAGUUAAGGCAGGCUGCUGCAUAGCAAUUAUAAAUUCUAUCAGGUUGAAAAAAAGACAUGAGAACUUGCAGAGCUAAAAUCAUUUUGGACAAGGAGGAGGCAAACAUACCAAGGACAAGUCUCCUGGACCUCAUGCCUGUGUACGCAGUGGUGAGAAGACGAUGAUCUCAGAGAAGGAGGGAUUCACUGGGGAUGGAAAUCAGUGACACAAAGAGGUAGCACAGAAGAGCCUCAGUAUUAUAGGUGUUUCUUAUUAAAUUUCAUUAAAUUGCCUGGGAUUGAACUCUGACCCUGGUACAGACUAGAUGAACACUUUACCACUUAGCUUUCCUCCUAGCCAUUGUUUCUUUCUUUCUUUUUUUCUAAUUUUUUAAAAAAAUAAGUGUAAAAUUUCCUCUAUACCCUACCAAGUAUCACAACCUCUUUCUAUUCAAUUUCAAAUUUAUGAUUUCUUUAAUUGUUGUUAUCUAUCUAUCUAUCUACCUACCAACCUACCUAUCAUUAUCAUCGUUUGUCUAUUGAGAUAUCUAGAUAUUUAAGUUUAAUCUCCUCAGUCAGUAAUGUUACUUGUGUGUAUGCCUUUCAGGCUGACCAUUUGAUAUUGGCUAAUGAUAUUGAGUGCAGCUGGCAAAGCAGUACUCUCCACGUCCCUCCACGUCAUGGUGGCAUCUUUGAUUUCAGCUUGGUAACUCAGAGAACUCGGUUCCAGGAUAGCUGCUGUAAAAUAGAGCUGACUUAGCCUUUAAAGGGGGUUAGGGAAGCUAGGCUGUUUUAAAUACAAGGUCAUCUGUUAACAAUACAGUGUGUUUUCAACACCAAGUCAUUGUACAAGUCUUAUGAUAAUAGUUGACGCUACACUAUUUUUUUAAGUGUUCUUUUUAAAUUGGGAUUUUAGAGAUCCCCAUCUGUUGCUACACAAUAUUCAUUUAGAUAAUCUUUCUAGCAAAAAUUCAGUUUCAUGUAGGAAACAAUCCUCUUUAUUCAGUGUCCAGACCUCACUUCAGCUGCAGUAUCUGAUUAGCUUAAUCAUCACAGUUCUGUGCCUACCCCCACCGUGUGAUGGAGGAAUGAAGAGAAUCAGCGAUUUAGAGCAUUGUUCUUAGUCCAGCCACUGGAAAGAUCUGUUGGCUCAGGUUUGGAGGUUCUUUUCUGUUGGAUACGAAUCCUCAUUUUUAAGGGUCUGGUAUAUGUUGUUAUAGCGGUUGUUCUGGGAAUGUAGCAGAGCAAAUUGCAUACAGUCUGACCAUGGCAGCAAAAAUGAGAAAGGGAAUGGAUUGAGGUGCCCCAGUCCCACUUAGAUGGAAUGCAGCUGAUGACCUAGGGACCUCUUAUUAGGCCCUACCUUCUAAUGGGUCCAUCAGCUCCCAAUAGAGCCACCUUGGGGACCAAACUUUCAGUAUCUGAGAAUUUAGGGAUUUUAAGAUCUAAAUGGCAGGUGACCUGUCUUCCGCAAUUAAAAAUGAAUACAGAUUUCUGUUAAAUACGAAGAGUAAGUUUGAAGUGUCUGUUGUACUUCACAGUGACUGUAGUUAAAGACAUAUUGUACAGAUGAAAAUUUCUGAAUUAAUUAUAUUUUCAGUGCUUGCACCACAACAAAAACAGACAUAGAUGUGAGGCGUCAGGAAGGACGCAUUAUAUUUUCCCUUGUGUGUCAAUCAGGCCUUGAGAACUGCCCCCAUUUGAAAAGAACUUAUGUGUCUAUUUGUGUAGGGAGCGGCUAAAGAUGGCGCCGACAUCCGGUGGUCGUUUGUGGUAAACACCUACAGCACAUGUGUUGGCAGACCCCCAGCACCUACAAGGCCAGGGUGAUAUUCAUGCUAAAUAGGUAUUUCAUGCUCCACCAAUCCCCAGUGGACAAAUUUACAGCCACAGCCUGUCUUGUAUUUAAGGCGAGUGCCUUUGUUCCCCGGGGUCCCCGUACUAUCAAUUAGGUGUUCCUGCAAUAAAGGCUGAUUGAGAAGGAUUCAACGGUGUUGCGUCUUCCUUGCCGGUCGAGGUGGGCACGACAUAUUUGUACUAGAUUUGUAUAUAUGAUAAAUAAGGACUAGCCAGAUGUGUUGAUUCCCAUCUAUAAACACAACUGGAGUGGCUGAUGCAGGAAGAUCAUGUGUUCAAGGCCAGUUUUGCUAUACAAUGAGACUCAAAAAGCAAAAUGAAACAUUAUAUAGAAUAUAGGUCUUUUUUAAUGGAAAUUUAUUGUAUUUAGGUUUAUACAUCUUAUAUAAGGAUACAUGCUAUUAAUACAUAUUUUACAUAUUUAGCUUUGAGAAUGUGAAAAUAAUCUCUUUAAUUUGUCCAAUAAGAUACAUACUGAAGGCUUUUUUGAUUAAUAAUGCAGUCAAGGCCUCGGUCCGGCUUCCUGACAACUGUUUAGCUCUCAGGUGCCAGUAAUCAUAUUUAAGAAAACAAGUAUGCAAAAUAGAAUUAUAGAUAUUGGGUUCAUGUUAACUUAUUGAGAAGAUUUCAAAUUUAGGUCUCAAGCAUUUUAAAUAAUAAGUAGCAUUUAACUUUUUUCUUUUUUGCAGCUGUUUUUAAAACUAUCAAGUUUAAAAAGAACUAACACAGGUAAAAAGCUGGGAAUUAACUAUUACAUAUGAACUGCUACUCAGUUAAAUAUUUAUUUGUUAUAAUUAUAUAUUACUGUAAUGUUUGUGAAGACCCUGGUACUCUAAGAAUUGGGAUAUGAAAGUUUCUUCAUAGCUAUACAGCAAAGUCACAACAAACCCAGAGUUCCUAGAAAGAAAUUGAGCUUCAUAAAAAAGUCCUGAAGGAGAGUUUAGAAAGGAACGGAAGUUGAUUCCAACCAAAGAAUAGAUGUAUUUGUUGCAGGAUGGUGUCAUGUAUGUAGCACAGAUGGACAUGUACUCCUUCACAUGACUCAUUCUAUACUAGCACAUGAAUUUUGGAGGGUUUUUUUUCCUACUCUACUUAAAACACUGAGACUUAAGCUAUCACAUUAACCUCACUACACCCUGUACAGUGCAUGGUUUCUCAUUUCUGCAUGGCAUGAGUGGUUGGCAGGAGUAAAAUUAAAUGCAGAUUUGGCCUGCAAGGAACACAAUCACAUGGAAAUGAGACUGGAGAGGAGGCCCAAGACAUACUGGUACAAGAAGCGUAAUUGCACCACGUGCUAUACAACCUUUAUCAGCUGCCACAUUGUUUUACAAAUAAAAAUAUAAACAAGAUAAACGUUAUAAAAGAAAAUUCAGUGAUAGCAAUGUUCUUUCAUUCUAGUUAUAAAUGCCAAUUCGACUGUCUCAGUGGACUGUGUCAAGCUAAGUUUCUCUAAGGUGACUGUGAGUUUAAAUUUCUUACUAAACGCAAAAUAAAGACUUAUUCAGGUGAUAAUUAAAACGUGCUUAGGGGGGUCUUAGACUUUCUGAGCAUGAGCUGUUGGUAACAUUUUCCUUCUUGUUUUGAAAUUUUCCUAACAUCUAUUCCACCAUUUACCUGUAGGUGAUAAGAAAUAAAUACCUUAAAAGGCUGCUUAUCCUUUUAUAUUUUUGUUGGGAGAAUACUAAUAGCUUCAGAAUGACAAGAAAACUCUCAAGUGAUUUUUAAAUUAUCUGUAAAAGUAAUAAUUGGAAAGCCCCAUCCUAAUGAAAAUUUACUUUUUAGUAAUAAGGCAAUAAUUUUAAAAACACUUUAAAAAUGUCAAUGCACUGUCAUAUUUUAACUUUAAACAUUUGAGAACAGGCAUGAUGCAUUGGUUUGGAUGCUUUAAAUUAUCAAUCAAAAAGCCAUUGUGACUGAAGGGUAAAAGUGAUUUAUGAUCAUAACUGAGAAGACCAGGAGUGGGUACUACAGGGUUAGCUGACUCAGCAGUUCAGAUGCUACAUUUUUCUUUUUUAAACUCUUCCUAAACUUGGCUUUCUUGCUAGGUUGCCUCAAGGUCUAGAAUAGCUAUUUUUUUCCAGGAGUUUGAUACCUCUCAAGAAAAUACAAAUUAAUUUUCUUAAACCUUAAUCUCAUCCCUAACAAAAAAAACUUUUUGUGACUCCCUUAAGUUAACCUUUGGCAAGAAACAAUGGAUUGAAAUGAAAUUUGUCCUGAACUAAGCAGUCAGUCCUUUCUUGUCCCUGACUUGGGACUUGGAAUGGGCUUCGGCAUUUUCUUCUCGUCCAGGGCAAGAUUGAGACUCAGAAAGAAGAAAAGGGAGAAAGUACUCACUCUUGUUUGAUAAUCAUCAAUUUCUGUCUAUUCAGAUAUAAUUUAAAAAACACAACUAAAAUUAUCUUAAUCAGCAGAAUUGUAGUGCCUCAAUAAUCAAGAAGUCAACUGUUAAUUUGUACUCAUAUGAGGCCUAAUUACAAAUGGGGGCUCAAGUUUUCAACUAUCCAGAUUUCAGCUGCUUUGAUUUCUUUCUAGGUGCUAUUCUGUAGGUCAGUUUCAUCUUUGUCUUCUGUUUGACAUGGUGUUGGCAACAUUGAUUGUAGUAGUUGCUCUUUUUCUGUCCUUACUCCAUGUUCUCUAGAGGAAGAGAAGGUUUUAGGUCUGGUUACUGUAAAAGAUGUAUUAGAGGCUCUGGUUGAUGUGUCCUCAUGGUCCAUUGGGUCUAAUAGGGAUUUAUGUCUGUUUUCAACCAAUAGCUGUAAUGAGCUCACAGAAAUGCAUCACCCAGGGACAAGCAUUAGGAUUAUUUAAACAGAUUAUAUCUAGACCAGUACAGAGGAUGAGGUCAGUGGUCAGUUCUUUAUUGAAAAUUAAGUAAGGGAAGAGAUGACAGAAAAGAUAGCAGGAAUAUCUAGCAUGCAUUUAAAUUAUAGAUAGAAAAGUUGAAAUGGAUUAAAAUGGUCUUCCCAUAGGCAUUUUGAUUACAGAUAGGGCUACAGAGAAGGUAUAAUGUCUCAAGCGGUGGACUUCCACUGUGUUGAAACUUUCCCCUAUGUUCUUCAAUAUUGUCUGGAUAGCAUACUGUUUACCUAUUUAUUACAAUUUUAUUCGUGUGUUUUUUUGGAACCCCUCCCAUGUCAGCAUUAAACACAGUGCUUUUAGGACUGUGAGGGUUUGGCUUCUCAUAGAUUGGGAUUUCCAGAUUCCAACACUGUUUAUAUGUGCUCUGUGUAGAAUAAGAUUUGUGGCAUUCAUUACUACAACUUGUACUUAGAAAUUCAACAACUUCAAACAUUUUAUAGACAAAAAAUUAUUUAACCCCUUUUCUAUUGGAUUAAACUCCUUUAAGGCUUCAAAUUAUAACAAAUGAGAGGACAUACAUCAUGUGAUUAGAUUAUGUUAUAAACUACUUUAUAUAUUAAACUGAAGUUAAUACUUUGUAGUUAAUUCUUAUAUAUCGACUUAUAUAAGCAAGAGUUAUAAUUAACAAUUUCAUUGAGAUUUAUUCUGCAUUGGUAGCUAUAAGGGCUUUUCUGUUGCUUGACAGUUUGAGUCUCAGGGAAAUAUAUUAAAUAUGAAGACAAUCUCAUAUGCUUUCUUCCAUUAGUCUUAAUGAUUUGGUUAGAAAAACCACAAGCAAAUAGCAAACUCUGAUAUUGAGAACAGCUGUCAUGUCAUUUAAAAUGAACUUCUACAGUGGGUUUAGGAUUGAAUCUCAAAGACUGGCAUGGUGCUUUUCCCAGUAGAAAGAAACUGUAAUUUCAUUGUUUGGUAAGACUGAAAAGACAACUGCGUUUGGAAGGAGGAUGUUUGGGAUGGACUAAAUAUUGUGAAAAGCAUGUGUGUCCUUUUGGGGCAAGCUGGAUUUUGGUAUUGGUACACUGUGAAGACGCUUUGAGGUCACAGGCCAGUAGUUCAUGGAUCCAUUGAAAGGAUAGAAAGGCAAUACUGGUUGUUAGAUACUUUUAAUGGCAUAAGUAUUUUAGCAGAAAGAAAAUCUUACACAAAUGCCAUUGCACAAGAAGACGAAAGUAAAAAUGUUCCAAUUGAGUCAAUGGAGAACUCCAAACCCUGAAAGGUCAUAUGUGUCUCAGUUACUUUCAUCCUCUCUGGCCUGCUGGCAGUGAAAAGUCUCAGAGAAUCCCCAUGGCCCUGUGGACAGUAUUUUAAAAUGCUUGAAAUGGAUUCACUUAAUGUUUCAGAUUGGAUUCACCAAUUCUUUGAGAAAGUAUAUGUACUAACCGAGUAGAUGCUUUCUUGGAACUUAUAUUCUGUUGAGGAAAAAGAAAGCAAAGAAACAAAAUGUGGCAUAGCUUAUAUUUAGCCAAGAAUAAAGACCUGAUUUUUAUCACCAAACCCAAAAUAGCAAAGUUAAGAGAGAAAAAAAUUAAAAAGGAAGAGUAAAUGAGUCGUAUGUAGAAUCCAAAAAGGGCAUAGUGAUCGCAUUGGGUAGGCCUUGAGGUCUUGUCCAGUGAGCUUAGAGAAAGUAUCUCUACCAAGAUGAUGUUUAAGCAGAGGCUUGAAAAAGUUGGAGGGAGAUACAAGCUUGACCUGCUGUAGCAACAGAUAGAAGUCCACUGAGGCUAGACCAUGAGCAAGACAGAGAAGAUAGUGAGGCCAAAAUUAGGAGAAAUUAUGGAAGCCCACAUCACUCAUAGCUCCAUGCUGUAUUGGACUUUGAAUUCUGUUUGGAGUUGGGCUGUUUACAGCUCCAGUGUGAGCUUGGGAAAAUAGAACCUAAAAAUGAGACAAUAGUCAACAUUAGUCGGACAAUCAGACAAUUCCUACCCUGAGUGUUAAGAAGAAUCACCUGAGAAAAUUGCACAAUCACAAGGAUAAGCCACACAUGAUAAAAACAUCUUUUUUUUUUCAUGUGACUAACAACUACUGACAUAAACUCACUUUUACCCAUUACACCUGGGAGGAGCAAAACAAAACAAAUAAAAAUCAAAAAAAAAAAAAAAGAAGAAAAAAGAAAAAAGAAAAAAAAACCUUAUUCCAAGAACAGUUCAAAACGGUGUUUUGAAGAAACUAAUAUCUUGUUUUCUUUUCUUCUUGUUUUCUUCCAGCCACUCAGAAUUCUCAUAGGAGUCUAUUUUUGGACUGUGUUCCAACACUGCAUAUAAUAGCAAAUGUCUGUAACUUCAACAUCUGGAUGAUGGAGUGUACUGGCUGGUUUUGUGUGUCAACUUGACACAAGCUGGAGCUAUCACAGAGAAAGGAGCCUCCCUUGAGGAAAUGCCUCCUUGCGCAGAUCCAGCAGCUACAGUUGUCUCAUUGGAAAGAUAAAGAAGAAAAAAGUAAAAACUUAACAACAGCAGCAGCAGCAGCAGCAGCAGCAACAACAACAACAACAACAACAGCAACGAAGGAGUUUAAAGACCAAAGAACUGAGAUUAGGGAUUAGGUUCCUUGAUUCAGAAGAACAUGGAACUCAAUCCAAACAGAAUUUUCAAAGAUACUACAAGCAGGGCUUUGGGACCGCACAGGUCUGCACACUGCAGUCCGUACUGGUAUUAGUGCCUUGGGCCCUGGACUCAGCUUCAUUCAGGAGGAGACAUAUAAGCAUUACUUCUUUGUUUGUUUGUUUGUUUGUUUGUUUGUUUGUUUGUGAGACAUGCUUUUCUGUGUUUCAGAGCACUGGCUGUCCUGGACUGACUUUGUAGACCAGGCUUUGAACUCACAGAGAUCUGCUUGCCUCUUUAAUCCCAAGUGCUGGGAAGGUGUGUGCCACCAUGCCCAUCUAAGCAUUGGCCCUUAGGGGCUGCCAACAAGGGUUACUUUUGACUAUGCUGUAAAAAGCCAUUUUAAUGUGGACUUUACCAUAAACAUAACAAUGCU
Molecule: non-coding RNA, 11297 nt
Organism: Rattus norvegicus (Norway rat)
Lineage: Eukaryota; Metazoa; Chordata; Mammalia; Rodentia; Muridae
Source: RefSeq, a predicted model, not a curated record